UUCCCUCAACCCCGACCCCAACCCCAAGCAAACAACAAUUUAACAUUCCCAGCAAACAAACAAAACCUUAGAUACUAUCAGCUCAGAAUAUGGCUUCAACUGGGAUGAUUCAGAUAGGUGUUGUGGUCCUAGCCCUAGCAACCAUGGCUUGGACAGGAGGAAUCCAGGCUCAGUCGGGGUGCACCAGUGUGCUCCUCAGCUUGGCUCCAUGCCUGAGCUAUGUCACCGGGAGCUCGUCGACACCGUCAUCUUCGUGCUGCUCGCAACUUGCCAGUGUAGUGAAUACACAGCCAGAGUGUCUUUGCACUGUACUCAAUGGUGGUGGCUCAGUCCUGGGUUUCAACAUCAACCAAACUCUUGCCCUCGCCCUCCCUGGUGCAUGCAAUGUGAAAACUCCACCAGUCAGUAAAUGUGGUGCUGCAGGUUCUCUGGAAGUUAUUAUGCCGCCACCGGCAGCAUCUCCUAAUUCUAACUAGCUCAUCAUCCUUACUAUGAGGAUCUAAAGCAGCUCCAUCAGACAGCUCAAUAAUGGCAGUAUAGUACUAUGAUGCCUCCUUCAGUUUGUCACCCUCCUUCUCUUCAUGGUUUGAUAUAUAUAUAUAUAUAUAUGCUUUAAUUUCAAACAGCUUUAUGAGUCUUGAUUGAGAGCUCUGUGGAUUGGAGCUUCUCUAGUACUACUAUUUAAUACAAUGUUUAUGUGUAACAGUCUAUGUUUUAUAUUAAUGUUUUGUUUUAAGUUCUUAUGUAUGGGUCGUGUUAUACAAGUACAAUAAUGAACGACACUUUGUGUUUUGUUCUAUUUA
Non-coding RNA from Camellia sinensis, 803 nucleotides. Lineage: Eukaryota; Viridiplantae; Streptophyta; Magnoliopsida; Ericales; Theaceae. The record is from RefSeq and is a predicted model, not a curated record.